CAGUCGCCGCGGGAAUACGUAGGGUGCGAGCGUUAAUCGGAAUUACUGGGCGUAAAGCGUGCGCAGGCGGUUGUGUAAGACAGGUGUGAAAUCCCCGGGCUUAACCUGGGAACUGCGCUUGUGACUGCACAGCUAGAGUAUGGCAGAGGGGGGUGGAAUUCCACGUGUAGUAGUGAAAUGCGUAGAGAUGUGGAGGAACACCGAUGGCGAAGGCAGCCCCCUGGGCCAAUACUGACGCUCAUGCACGAAAGCGUGGGGAGCGAACAGGAUUAGAUACCCCGGUAGUCCCUGUCUCUUAUAC
This 301-nucleotide ribosomal RNA is filed under the name uncultured bacterium. RNAcentral's name for it is "partial 16S ribosomal RNA". It matches the Rfam family "Bacterial small subunit ribosomal RNA", at positions 509 to 807 of the family's 1533-position model. The record is from RNAcentral.